This 393-nucleotide ribosomal RNA is filed under the name uncultured bacterium. Its description in RNAcentral is "partial 16S ribosomal RNA". It matches the Rfam family "Bacterial small subunit ribosomal RNA", at positions 523 to 918 of the family's 1533-position model. The record is from RNAcentral.
AUACGGAGGAUCCGAGCGUUAUCCGGAUUUAUUGGGUUUAAAGAGAGCGUAGGUGGACAGUUAAGUCAGUUGUGAAAGUUUGCGGCUCAACCGUAAACUUGCAGUUGAUACUGGCUGUCUUGAGUACAGUCGAGGUGGGCGGAAUUCGUGGUGGAGCGGUGGAAUGGUUAGAUAUCACGAAGAACGCCGAUUUCGAAGGCAGCGCACUGGACUGCAACUGACACUGAUGCUCGAAAGUGUGGGUAUCAAACAGGAUUAGAUACCCUGGUAGUCCACACAGUAAACGAUGAAUACUCGCUGUUUGCGAUAUACAGUAAGCGGCCAAGCGAAAGCAUUAAGUAUUCCCCCUGGGGAGUACGCCGGCAACGGUGAAACUCAAAUGAAUUGACGGGG